This 324-nucleotide ribosomal RNA is filed under the name uncultured eukaryote. RNAcentral's name for it is "partial 18S ribosomal RNA". It matches the Rfam family "Eukaryotic small subunit ribosomal RNA", at positions 1470 to 1796 of the family's 1831-position model. The record is from RNAcentral.
CCCUUAGAUGUUCUGGGCCGCACGCGCGCUACACUGAUGCAUUCAACGAGUUUCUUCCUGGUCCGAGAGGAAUGGGUAACCUUUUGAAAGUGCAUCGUGAUAGGGAUAGACUAUUGCAAUUAUUGGUCUUCAACGAGGAAUUCCUAGUAGACGUAGUUCGUCAGACUGCAUCGAUUACGUCCCUGCCCUUUGUACACACCGCCCGUCGCUCCUACCGAUUGAAUGCUCAGGUGAGCCAUUCGGACUUUCAUCAUGCUGGUUUCCAGUUUUGAUGAAGGAAAGUCUUGCGAACCUUAUCAUUUAGAGGAAGGAGAAGUCGUAACA